Long non-coding RNA from Dreissena polymorpha, 1685 nucleotides. RefSeq lists it as uncharacterized. The record is from RefSeq and is a predicted model, not a curated record. The transcript is spliced from 5 exons. Lineage: Eukaryota; Metazoa; Mollusca; Bivalvia; Myida; Dreissenidae.
AGGUGGCAAACAAGCUGCUGACAAUAUUGCAUCAAAUUCAUGAGAGGGCCAGGACCCCUAUGACACAAGGUGCUGAAUAAUUGCCAAUGCGUAAAGAGUCUUACUUUUACCCAUGAUGCUUGCAACACUCUAAGAUGGAGCAUCUGACUUCACCAUUGGAUGCUGCUGUUUGAUGUAAAGGACUUGAAGAUGAAUCCUGCCCCAGAAGUACAGAAAAUGUGUCUGCUGGUGUAUGAGAGCUUCACUUCAAGGUACAGGAAGCACACUAGAAGUACCAGUCACACAUUAACGAUCUACUCACAGAGAAACCAGAGCUUAAGCAUAUAUACGGAGCCAAACAUGAAGAGCUCUAUGAAGGAAGGGUUUUGUUUGAGAAGGACUGGGAGGAGAGAGUAAUGACUUCCAAGGAGACCAUAAAUGCCGGGAUGUCAAAGUUUAGGUCCUUGGUUGAAGGUGGAUCUAAAAUAAACGUGCCCAUCCCCAAACUUUGGCAAAGGUGAGACUGUUCCAUCAGCCCUGAGUGCUGGCAAAACAGGACAUCUAUAGCACGAGGCAGCAGAAUAUGUGCGCCCAACUGUGAUAGGAAGACUCAGAAAAAUUCAGCAACUUCAAGCAACUUUGUUUAUCCAAACAGACUGAUGAAAGUAUAUCAGACAGUGUUCUUUGAUUUUUCGUAUUUUAACAUAACAUUUAUGUUGUUGUGUAACCCCCGACAGCCCAUUUUGGGGCUCUGCCAUGCAGAUGUUGCUUUUAUGUCGUGGACUCAUUGUAGAACUGUUUGUUCUCUCGGUAAAAUGUUCAGUUGUAUCAUGCACUACAAAAGUCAAGUCUGUUUGGGUAGAAUGAUUAUUACAACUUUUUAAGUUAAUGCCUUCAUAACUAAAUUUUGAAGGAAUCAAUUUAUAAUAAUGAAUGCCUGAAUAAAGGUGUUCAACUUUUUUUAUUAUUAUAGAUUUCUUAAAUAAUUUAAUAAUUUCAUACUUAUUCAUACACAAAAGUGCAGCUAAUCAAUUCUAUAUUAAAAUGCAUUUUUUCAAUGCUUGAAUAUGUAAUAUACAUUUCUUUAACUACCAGUUGAUAAAUGUAGACUUUGUGUAAACAUUUUUUAACAUAGUUAAAAAAAUAUGUGUAUGCUAUCUGAUUGAACCAGCAGUGCUCAAAAUGAACUUUUAGAAGUCAAUCUGCUCUUUUGUCAACUGGGCACUUAAGCGCACAUUUUGUACUUUCAUGUGACUUUGUAUGUACCCCAGGCUAUACUAUUUUUGCCCUGUCUGUUUGUUUGUUGUUGUUUUUUGCAUCAAACUUAAACAUUUGCCAUGACUUUUGCAAUAUUGAAGAUAGCAACUUGAUAUUUGGCAUACAUGUGUAUCUUAUUGAGCUGCACAUUUUGAGUGAUGAAAGGUCAAGGUCAAAGUCAUCCUUCCAGGUCAAAGAUCAAAUAUAUGGGGGGGGGGGGGACAUAGUGUUUCACAAAACAUCUUUUUUUUAAUAUUUCAUGCUUUAUAUAUUUCUUACUGCAUGUAUUAUCAUUUAAAAAACUGUUUAUAUCAUUAAUUAAACUAGUUGAACUCAAAUUUAAUAACUUCUAGGAACUAUUGAUCAAUUUGCUGCAAAAUGUGAUCAGAUAAAACAAGAGGGCCAAGAUGGCCCUAGUUCGCUCACCUUUUUAUGCCCCCGGAUUGAUA